Molecule: ribosomal RNA, 492 nt
Filed under: Bursa rhodostoma
Lineage: Eukaryota; Metazoa; Mollusca; Gastropoda; Littorinimorpha; Bursidae
Description: partial 16S ribosomal RNA
Rfam family: Bacterial large subunit ribosomal RNA
Source: RNAcentral
AUAAGGAGUCGGACCUGCCCAGUGAAGUAUUUAAACGGCCGCGGUACUCUGACCGUGCAAAGGUAGCAUAAUCAUUUGCCCUAUAAUUGAGGGCUAGUAUGAAUGGUUUGACAAGAAUAAAGCUGUCUCCGUGUAAUUAUAUAGAAUUUUAUUUUUAGGUGAAGAAGCCUAAAUUUUAUUAAAAGACAAGAAGACCCUAUCGAGCUUUAGAGAAAUUAAUAAAGUAAUAGUAUAUAUUAAUUAAAAUAAAUUUUAUUAAAGAUUUUGGUUGGGGCGACAAAGGAACAAUUAAAGCUUCUUUUUAAAUAAAGAAACCUACAAGUAUUGAUCCAGAAUAAUUCUGAUUAAAGAAAUUAGUUACCGUAGGGAUAACAGCAUUAUCUUUUUUGAGAGCUCAUAUCGAAAAAAAGGUUUGUGACCUCGAUGUUGGACCAGGAUAUCCUGAAGAUGCAGAAGUCUUUAAAGGUUGGUCUGUUCGACCAUUAAAAUCCU